UGAGUAACACGUAUCCAACCUGCCGUCUACUCUUGGCCAGCCUUCUGAAAGGAAGAUUAAUCCAGGAUGGCAUCAUGAGUUCACAUGUCCGCAUGAUUAAAGGUAUUUUCCGGUAGACGAUGGGGAUGCGUUCCAUUAGAUAGUUGGUGAGGUAACGGCUCACCAAACCUUCGAUGGAUAGGGGUUCUGAGAGGAAGGUCCCCCACAUUGGAACUGAGACACGGUCCAA
This 229-nucleotide ribosomal RNA is filed under the name uncultured bacterium. Its description in RNAcentral is "partial 16S ribosomal RNA". It matches the Rfam family "Bacterial small subunit ribosomal RNA", at positions 107 to 334 of the family's 1533-position model. The record is from RNAcentral.